RNAcentral lists this ribosomal RNA (433 nucleotides) under uncultured bacterium. RNAcentral describes it as "partial 16S ribosomal RNA". It matches the Rfam family "Bacterial small subunit ribosomal RNA", at positions 29 to 507 of the family's 1533-position model. The record is from RNAcentral.
AACGAACGCUGGCGGCAUGCCUAACACAUGCAAGUCGAACGAGACCUUCGGGUCUAGUGGCGCACGGGUGCGUAACGCGUGGGAACCUGCCCUUAGGUUCGGAAUAACUCCCCGAAAGGGGUGCUAAUACCGGAUAAUGUCUUCGGACCAAAGAUUUAUCGCCUUUGGAUGGGCCCGCGUUGGAUUAGCUAGUUGGUAGGGUAAAAGCCUACCAAGGCGACGAUCCAUAGCUGGUUUGAGAGGAUGAUCAGCCACACUGGGACUGAGACACGGCCCAGACUCCUACGGAACGCAGCAGAGAAGAAUAUUGGACAAUGGACGAAAGCCUGAACCAGCAAUGCCCCGUGAGUUAUGAAGGCCUUAGGGUUGUAAAUCUCUUUUACCCGUGAUUAUAAUGACAGUACCGAGAGAAUAAGCUCCGGCUAACUCCGUG